AUAGUAACUUUGAAGUUGAUCUUAUUAGUAGUAAUUUUUAAAUAUUUAGAGUUACCUUUGUUAGAUAUUAGUGACCCUUAAAGUCUUAUUUUGUUUCUUUUAUAUGGUGUUUAGGGCAUAUAUUGGAAAAUCCUUGUAAAAAAAAGAAUUGGAGAGGGAUUUCGGUAGCAAAAAGGAUAGUUAGGGCAUCCAUAUGAAUGAAUGGAGAU
This 209-nucleotide long non-coding RNA is filed under the name Physcomitrium patens. RNAcentral's name for it is "long non-coding RNA (PPAT_LNC005174)". The record is from RNAcentral. Lineage: Eukaryota; Viridiplantae; Streptophyta; Bryopsida; Funariales; Funariaceae.